UCUCGAAAGCGUUAUCCUGACAUUGAAUUGAAGAUUGAAUAGAAAGCUUGAAAUCUGUCUAUUGGCGGCUGCGUCGAAGUUGAGCGAAGAAUGGCGACGGUGGCGGCGGCGCCGUGGUUUAGAGCAAGGUUGAUCCCGGAGUUAAAGAAUCGCCAGUCACUACUGUAUUGUCGCAACGGCCCCCGCAGGUAUCCGCAAAGUCUCUGUUUCCGGAGAAGAAGUUUCUCAAUUUAUGCUUCAGCAGGAGAUGAAGGGGCUGUCCGAGUUCGUUUUGCACCGUCUCCUACCGGUAAUCUCCAUGUGGGAGGCGCUAGAACUGCACUCUUUAACUACUUAUAUGCGCGGUCGAAAGGUGGGAAAUUUGUACUCCGGAUUGAAGACACAGACCUGGAAAGAUCCACAAGGGAGUCCGAGGAGGCCGUGCUUCGUGACCUUUCUUGGCUUGGUCUUGCUUGGGACGAAGGUCCUGGAAUUGGUGGGAACUAUGGCCCAUACAGGCAGUCUGAGAGGAAUGCCCUUUACAAGGAAUUUGCUGAAAAACUUUUACAAUCCGGUCAUGUUUAUCGAUGUUUUUGCUCAAAUGAGGAAUUAGAAAAGAUGAAAGAGAUGGCAAAAUUGAAGCAGUUGCCUCCCGUGUACACUGGGAGGUGGGCCAGUGCUACAGAGCAGGAAGUUCUAGAAGAGCUGGCAAAGGGGACCCCAUACACAUAUCGGUUUCGAGUACCGAAAGAAGGGAGUUUAAAAAUUGAUGACCUCAUUCGUGGUGAAGUCAGUUGGAACUUCGACACUCUUGGAGACUUUGUGAUCAUGAGAAGUAAUGGACAACCCGUUUACAAUUUUUGUGUCACAGUUGAUGAUGCUACUAUGGCUAUCUCCCAUGUCAUAAGAGCGGAGGAACAUUUGCCGAAUACUCUAAGGCAAGCAUUAAUAUACAAGGCACUAGGUUUUCCAAUGCCUCACUUUGCGCAUGUUUCUUUAAUUCUUGCCCCUGAUAGAAGCAAGCUCUCGAAACGGCAUGGUGCAACUUCAGUUGGUCAGUUCAGGGACAUGGGCUAUUUGCCUCAGGCAAUGGUGAAUUAUCUAGCUCUCUUGGGAUGGGGUGAUGGUACAGAAAAUGAGUUUUUCUCCCUUGAGCAGCUUGUUGAAAAGUUCACAAUUGAACGUGUAAACAAAAGUGGUGCCAUAUUUGAUUCGACCAAGUUAAGGUGGAUGAAUGGUCAGCAUUUGAGAUCACUUCCAUCUGAAGAGUUGAACCAAAUCAUUGGUGAAAGGUGGAAGGAUGCAGACAUCGUUACAGAAUCACAAGGAGUUUUUGUACAGGAUGCUGUUCUACUCCUCAAAGAUGGGAUUGACUUGAUACCAGAUUCAGAGAAAGCACUUUCAAGUUUGCUAUCUUAUCCUUUAUAUGAAACUUUGACAAGCACGGAAGGAAAACUGAUCUUAGAAGAUGGAGUCUCUGAAGUUGCUAAGAGCUUGUUAGCGGCCUACGACAGUGGUGAGCUCUGUGGUGCACUUGCAGAAGGCCAACCUGGAUGGAGAAACUGGGUGAAGAAGUUCGGUAAAUUGCUGAAGCGCAAGGGAAAAUCUCUCUUCAUGCCCCUUCGGGUGUUGGUAACAGGAAAGCUUCAUGGACCUGAUAUUGGGGCCACCACAGUAUUACUCUAUAAAGCUGGAACAUCUGGUUCUGUAGCACCCCAAGCUGGGUUUGUUACAUUUGAUGAAAGAUUUAAGAUAUUGAGAGAAGUUCAAUGGGAGUCGUUCGGCUCAAAUGUGCCUUUGUCUGCUGGUGUUGUAACGCAUUGAGAUUGUGGCGAUAUUCUGUUUUGAUUAUCCAUUAUAUGACUUCUAUCUCCACCAUUCCCAGUAGAAACAAAGAGAAGCUGCGAGCACAAGGGGGGUUUUCUUGUGUUUGCAUCUCGUCUGGAAUCAAAGAGGGCUACCAUCUCUAGCGGGAUUCCUUUUCUGUAUCUUCCCCCUCCCCCUCCCCCUCCACGGGGUAAGGCUGUGCUGAUUGUGACACUACGUUUAUUUUUCACCGAACAAUGGUAGAAUAGUUAAAAAGGGGAUUGCAGCUCCAACCCGGGUUUCAUUGCAUAAACAAUGGACUAACAAAGAUAUACCUAAACUAUUACUUUUUAGUUUGAGUUGUGUGUA
RNAcentral lists this unclassified non-coding RNA (2154 nucleotides) under Hevea brasiliensis (rubber tree). Lineage: Eukaryota; Viridiplantae; Streptophyta; Magnoliopsida; Malpighiales; Euphorbiaceae. The record is from RNAcentral.